This 194-nucleotide ribosomal RNA is filed under the name uncultured Bacillus sp. Its description in RNAcentral is "partial 16S ribosomal RNA". It matches the Rfam family "Bacterial small subunit ribosomal RNA", at positions 338 to 524 of the family's 1533-position model. The record is from RNAcentral. RNAcentral also lists the same sequence under 1 other name. Lineage: Bacteria; Bacillati; Bacillota; Bacilli; Caryophanales; Bacillaceae.
CCUACGGGAGGCAGCAGUAGGGAAUCUUCCGCAAUGGACGAAAGUCUGACGGAGCAACGCCGCGUGAGCGAUGAAGGCCUUCGGGUCGUAAAGCUCUGUUGUUAGGGAAGAACAAGUACGAGAGUAACUGCUCGUACCUUGACGGUACCUAACCAGAAAGCCCCGGCUAACUACGUGCCAGCAGCCGCGGUAAU